RNAcentral lists this ribosomal RNA (497 nucleotides) under uncultured bacterium. Its description in RNAcentral is "partial 16S ribosomal RNA". It matches the Rfam family "Bacterial small subunit ribosomal RNA", at positions 28 to 507 of the family's 1533-position model. The record is from RNAcentral.
GAUGAACGCUGGCGGCGUGCCUAAUACAUGCAAGUCGAGCGAACGGACGAGAAGCUUGCUUCUCUGAUGUUAGCGGCGGACGGGUGAGUAACACGUGGAUAACCUACCUAUAAGACUGGGAUAACUUCGGGAAACCGGAGCUAAUACCGGAUGAUAUUUUGAACCGCAUGGUUCAAAAGUGAAAGACGGUCUUGCUGUCACUUAUAGAUGGAUCCGCGCUGCAUUGGCUAGUUGGUAAGGUAACGGCUUACCAAGGCAACGAUGCAUAGCCGACCUGAGAGGGUGAUCGGCCACACUGGAACUGAGACACGGUCCAGACUCCUACGGGAGGCAGCAGUAGGGAAUCUUCCGCAAUGGGCGAAAGCCUGACGGAGCAACGCCGCGUGAGUGAUGAAGGUCUUCGGAUCGUAAAACUCUGUUAUUAGGGAAGAACAUAUGUGUAAGUAACUGUGCACAUCUUGACGGUACCUAAUCAGAAAGCCACGGCUAACUACGUG